GCCGAGUAUACUGGCGAACGGGUGAGUAACGCGUAGGUAACUUGCCUAUCAGUCUGGGAUAACACUGCUAACGCGGUGCUAAUACCGGGUAUACUGCAUAGAUCGCAUGUUUUUUGCAGGAAAGCGGGCCUCUGGAACAAGCUCGUGCUGAUAGAUAGACCUGCGUCCCAUUAGUUAGUUGGUAGGGUAACGGCCUACCAAGGCAGCGAUGGGUAGCCGGCCUGAGAGGGUGACCGGCCACACUGGGACUGAGAUACGGCCCAGACUCCUACGGGGGGCAGCAGUGAGGAAUAUUGCGCAAUGGACGAAAGUCUGACGCAGCAACGCCGCGUGAGGGAUGAAGCUUUUCGGAGUGUAAACCUCUGUUAGGAGGGAAGAACGUCUAUUAUUCGAACAGGGUGAUAGAGUGACGGUACCUCCAGAGAAAGCCCCGGCUAACUCCGUGCCAGCAGCCGCGGUAAUACGGGGGGGGCGAACGUUGUCCGGAAUUAUUGGGCGUAAAGGGCGCGUAGGCGGGAAGGUCAGUCAGAGGUGAAAGCUUGUGGCUUAACUGCAAGUUUGCCUUUGAUACUGCCAUUCUUGAGUUCGGAAGAGGGAAGUGGAAUUCCUGGUGUAGCGGUGAAAUGCGUAGAUAUCAGGAAGAACACCGGUGGCGAAGGCGGCUUCCUGGUCCGAUACUGACGCUGAUGCGCGAAAGCCGUGGGGAGCAAACCAGGAUUAGAUACCCUGGUAGUCCAACGCUGUAAACGAUGGGUACUAGGUGUUGGG
This 768-nucleotide ribosomal RNA is filed under the name uncultured organism. Its description in RNAcentral is "bacterial SSU rRNA". It matches the Rfam family "Bacterial small subunit ribosomal RNA", at positions 85 to 827 of the family's 1533-position model. The record is from RNAcentral.